AGUGAACGCUGGCGGUAGGCCUAACACAUGCCAGUCGAACGGCAGCACAGUAAGAGCUUGCUCUUACGGGUGGCGAGUGGCGGACGGGUGAGGAAUACAUCGGAAUCUACUUUUUCGUGGGGGAUAACGUAGGGAAACUUACGCUAAUACCGCAUACGACCUACGGGUGAAAGCCGUGGAUCUUCGGACCUUGCGCGAUUGAAUGAGCCGAUGUCGGAUUAGGUAGUUGGCGGGGUAAAGGCCCACCAAGGCGACGAUCCGUAGCUGGUCUGAGAGGACGAUCAGCCACACUGGAACUGAGACACGGUCCAGACUCCUACGGGAGGCAGCAGUGGGGAAUAUUGGACAAUGGGCGCAAGCCUGAUCCAGCAAUACCGCGUGGGUGAAGAAGGCCUUCGGGUUGUAAAGCCCUUUUGUUGGGAAAGAAAAGCAGCAGGUUAAUACCCCGCUGUUCUGACGGUACCCAAAGAAUAAGCACCGGCUAACUUCGUG
Molecule: ribosomal RNA, 492 nt
Filed under: uncultured bacterium
Lineage: Bacteria
Description: partial 16S ribosomal RNA
Rfam family: Bacterial small subunit ribosomal RNA
Source: RNAcentral